AAAAUCUUAAAAAAAAAAAAAAGCUGGGACCCCCAAGUGUGUAGUAGGGGUUUGGGGCAGAGGGGAUAGUGUGUAGGAGGCCUGGAUGCAAAUCGGUCAACAAGCUGCAGAUAGGUGGACUCAGUGUGGAAAACCCUCUCUCUGUGGGCCACCAGGACAAGAGUGAUUCCAAAUAUGGAAAAAGAGCCACUCUGCCAUUCCAAGAGGCACCAGCCAUGGAUGGUCACUCUGCCAGGUGCUGUUGAGCAGGGCCAGCGUGCAUGGGUGUGGGGGACAGAUAUAAAUGACUUUCACCAAUGAAAGCAGCGAUGGGCUCAGAGUACCGGUGCCUUCCCAGGCUGGGACAGUAAGUAGUCCAACCAGCAUGGCCACCCCACAGGGUACGUAUGUCCACAGGACCGAGAUCCAUGUUUAAUUCACACCCACAUGAUGGCAGGAAGUCACAGCAUGAGUUAGACUUGGUGGGGAGGUGUUCACAGUGAGCAAGGGCCUCCUGCUGGUGCACGGGUGACUUUGGAAGAAAGGGCUGUUGGCCAAUGGAGUAGGUUGCUCUGGUCUCUGGCCUGGGACUUCUGGGAGAUGGGCAGGAUGGCAGUCCCUGGAUUCAUCAGAAGUGCCUGGCACACUUGCCCCACUAGAUUUGCUGAUCCAAGAGCAGGGGACAAUUCCUUAUCUCAGUCGCAGGGUCAGAGGGUCCUCGGGAUGGUGUGGCUGGGUGGUGACGGUUGGGGCUGGCACUCUAUCCCUUCCCAUCCAUCCUUCACAGAAAGCCUUUCUGUAGUUCAGGGGUUGAGAUACUUGCCACCAAAUGGCCUGAUGGAGGUUAUUCUCUAACCAUUGCAUGCCCCGCCCAGAUAGAAACUCAUAAAUGAAUGAAUGCAUAUAUAAAUGUAAUACAAAUUUAAUGGAGUUUCUUUCCGGGGGGCCCUACAUCUGGGGUGACCCCAGAGGUCACAUGAGAAACACUGGAGGCAAACAAGGUAUACACCCUGAAGGAAAAGGGACAGUGAUUGCCAUUCUGUCAUUCAGAAGAGGCACAACCUAUAGCUGGGAAGGAUGCUGACCAAGCUCCGCCCCACACUUCACAUCAGAAGUGAAAAUAUUGAAGACCACAGUCUCACAAGCCAGAUUUUGAGGCUCUAGCUGUCUGGCUCAGUCCUUCACCCUGUGGCAAGUGCCCGGCCAAGGCAGCAACUCAGAAGCAACAGUGUUCUGUACGGUACUAUAUAAAAACAGGAGGGGCAGGGGAGAGGAGAGAGCUCAGUCAGGAAAGUGCUUGCUGCACAAAGCAUAAGGACCUGGGUUCAAAUCCCCAGGUCUCCUGUAAAAAGCCAGGUGUGGUGUCACAUGGGUCCUUGGGGCUCAGUGGCCUGACAGUCUAGCUCCAGGUUCAGUGAGAAACCUUGUCUGAAAAAUAAGGUGGCAAAUGAUAGAGGAAGAUGUCCAAGGACCAUUCUUUGUGACCUUUACAUGUAUAUUUACACACACACACACACAC
Molecule: long non-coding RNA, 1498 nt
Filed under: Cricetulus griseus (Chinese hamster)
Lineage: Eukaryota; Metazoa; Chordata; Mammalia; Rodentia; Cricetidae
Description: lncRNA (ENSCGRG00015036412.1)
Source: RNAcentral